Molecule: non-coding RNA, 54 nt
Organism: Salmo salar (Atlantic salmon)
Lineage: Eukaryota; Metazoa; Chordata; Actinopteri; Salmoniformes; Salmonidae
Source: Rfam
UGCAUUCACUACUGUAAGUCACUCUGGAUAAGAGUGUCUGCUAAAUGACUAAAC